CUCUCAUCUCCCUGCCAAGACCUCAAAUAUAAUUGUUUCCCCCUGAAAAUGCCCAUCUCGGAACCCUGGCUGUGCCCCAAGGGAGGAUGUUCCCACUGGAAUGGCAAAAGUGAGGACAUACUGCUGCCAGCCUUGUCUAUGCUCUAGACAGAGGUCAAAUGUCAACUUUCUGCCAGGUCCAGCCGGGAUGUGAGGGCGGUGGAGGCAACAACCAAGGAACCAUUCCUUCGGAUGGAAGUCCGAUGGCAGAGAGAAGCUGAUGUUUGACUUUUCCAGUAGAGCCCUUGGAAGUUCCAUGAAUCAAUCUGGGAAGGAUGCAGGUUAAGUGGGAAGCAGAAGUCCUCGAUCACGUGAUGGGGGAAAAGUUGAAAAGGCUGGGUUACACCCUUAGGAAACCUCUUUGUUUCUUGGCUCCCUGCAGGGGCAUGCACACUAGCGAAUGCUCAAUCCCUUAAUUAUUCAUUUGAUCACACAAGAAGGAAUGAGAGGAAAAAUACUUUUAUUUUUCACCAAGCGCAGUCUCAACGAAGAGCCCCUCCUUCUUUCAUGACUUCUUUUGUGUGUGACUUACUCAAUCUAAGGUAAAGGAACCCAAGCUGGGCCCACUACCAAAUGCACUUCUUCAAUUUUACAUUCUGGGACAGGAGAGAGGAUCAUUGGUUGAGCCUACCUACUCUGUGGACACAUUGUAAUCCUGAAACUGUUCUGAGCUUCCAUUCAUGGCCAAGACACCUGAUCACUUCAUCAUUGGGUUCUGUAUUUGAAAACUGGACUAGCUCUGAACCUGGGUGACAGAACACAGUGUGGAGAAACCUUGCCUCUAGGAUCUUGCUCAUACACUCUUGGUUCCUUUUGCUCUGGUGGAGCUCCUCAACGCCCACUGGGGAAGUGAUCUGGCUCCCAAGUCCACCAGGCUGUUCAAGUCAUGGAUGGCACCAGUUUUCACAGGCUGAGUGAUUAGAAAACAGACUCUGGGACAGCUGUGUACCUAAGAGUCAUCUGGGCAUUGCUCUUACAAUCCCUGUAGAAGACAAGAGCUCAGCAGUUGAUGGUCAGCCUUAGACCAACAAAACCUGACCGUGGGGCACAUGCGAGAUGGAUGGAAAGGAGCCUACUAUGGGUGUCACUCUUCUCACGACAGCAGGCAAACACCUAAUAGGAGGACCAACUUGAGUCGUGGAGGGUUUACAUGAGGUUCAGAGGAUAAAGUCGAUCACUUCCAUGAGAAACACGUGGAAACAGAACCAGUCCGUUAUGACAACAGGAGUGUGAGAUAGCUUGCUCACAUGUGACUGGAUCUGGAGCAACCAGGACAGAAUCAGAGGGGAUCCGUAACCCUCAAUUCUCAUCCCUACACCCCAUCAACUGAGAAUGAGACCGUGUGUCCAUCCAACCUCCUGAAAGAGUGCUACCAGCUGGGGACCAAGUAAUCAAGCAUGUGAGCUUCUAGGGGACAUUUCACAUCCGAGCCAUAAGCCUAAUUUAAAGAACCCUAAUUGUGGACAUUUAUGACAUCCCACAUCUGGCUG
Molecule: non-coding RNA, 1529 nt
Organism: Mus caroli (Ryukyu mouse)
Lineage: Eukaryota; Metazoa; Chordata; Mammalia; Rodentia; Muridae
Source: RefSeq, a predicted model, not a curated record